GGACUCGUGGCUUAGCUUGGAUAGAGCAUCUGCCUCCUAAGCAGAGGGUCGGGGGUUCAAAUCCCCCCGAGUCCG
RNAcentral lists this transfer RNA (75 nucleotides) under Candidatus Heimdallarchaeota archaeon. RNAcentral describes it as "tRNA-Arg". It matches the Rfam family "tRNA". Rfam says of the family: Transfer RNA (tRNA) molecules are approximately 80 nucleotides in length. Their secondary structure includes four short double-helical elements and three loops (D, anti-codon, and T loops). The record is from RNAcentral. RNAcentral also lists the same sequence under 4 other names. Lineage: Archaea; Promethearchaeati; Candidatus Heimdallarchaeota.